Molecule: ribosomal RNA, 247 nt
Filed under: uncultured microorganism
Description: partial 16S ribosomal RNA
Rfam family: Bacterial small subunit ribosomal RNA
Source: RNAcentral
GAGUUUGAUCAUGGCCAGGAUGAACGCUGGCGGCGUGCCUAACACAUGCAAGUCGAACGGAGUUUAUGAGGAAGAAGCUUCGGCGGAAUUCUUAUAAACUUAGUGGCGGACGGGUGAGUAACACGUGGAGAACCUGCCUCUUACCGGGGGACAGCAGUUGGAAACGACUGAUAAUACCGCAUAAGCGCACGAGACCGCGUGGUCCUGUGUGAAAAGAUUUAUCGGUAAGAGAUGGCUCCGCGUCUGA